GACGAACGCUGGCGGCGUGCCUAAUACAUGCAAGUCGAGCGAAGUUUUUCUGGUGCUUGCACCGGAAAAACUUAGCGGCGAACGGGUGAGUAACACGUAAAGAACCUGCCUUAUAGACUGGGACAACUAUUGGAAACGAUAGCUAAUACCGGAUAACAGCAUUAACUGCAUGGUUGAUGUUUGAAAGUUGGUUUUGCUAACACUAUGAGAUGGCUUUGCGGUGCAUUAGCUAGUUGGUGGGGUAAAGGCCUACCAAGGCGACGAUGCAUAGCCGACCUGAGAGGGUGAUCGGCCACACUGGGACUGAGACACGGCCCAGACUCCUACGGGAGGCAGCAGUAGGGAAUCUUCCGCAAUGGGCGAAAGCCUGACGGAGCAACGCCGCGUGAGUGAAGAAGGAUUUCGGUUCGUAAAGCUCUGUUGUUAGGGAAGAAUGAUUGUGUAGUAACUAUACACAGUAGAGACGG
Molecule: ribosomal RNA, 467 nt
Filed under: Gemella haemolysans
Lineage: Bacteria; Bacillati; Bacillota; Bacilli; Caryophanales; Gemellaceae
Description: bacterial SSU rRNA
Rfam family: Bacterial small subunit ribosomal RNA
Source: RNAcentral